Molecule: long non-coding RNA, 527 nt
Filed under: Homo sapiens (human)
Lineage: Eukaryota; Metazoa; Chordata; Mammalia; Primates; Hominidae
Description: HSALNT0170358
Source: RNAcentral
UGAGGACUUUCUCACUGCUUAGUGGUGGUGUUCCUUCUGCCCCGGGGUCUUGGCCUCUGUUGAGCUGGUGUCUGGGGUCUUUGUUAUGCUGUCAGAGAUCUCAAGGCCUCCCUGACAGUUGUCUCACUUGGUAAUGAUGUCAUCAUUAUCAGUGGUGGUAACUGUAUCCAGACAAUGACAUGGAACUUCUACUGUCUAGAAUAUUACAUUGUACAGAAGCCAACAAAAGUUAUUGCAUAGAAUAUUAACAACAUUUUUAUUACUAUUAUAUAAGAAUCAGAUUUAUUUUAAAAGUUAACAUUAGGUAUGCAUUAUAAAAUUAGGCAACAUUCUUCAGGACCCAUUUUUUUCCUCUAUUUUUUUCUUUUACAGAUGAAUUUUCUAAAUUUCUACCCUUUAUCCUUUUAUCAAGACAACCUAGUCUAGAUAAAUCCUGGUGCUCCAGGGGCCCAGGCAUGGGGGUGGAGUAAAACUCGCCCAUUCACCUGUGCCGGCAGGUUCUCUGCACCAGAACCAAUAAGUGGCCA